RNAcentral lists this ribosomal RNA (490 nucleotides) under uncultured bacterium. RNAcentral describes it as "partial 16S ribosomal RNA". It matches the Rfam family "Bacterial small subunit ribosomal RNA", at positions 30 to 507 of the family's 1533-position model. The record is from RNAcentral.
AUUGAACGCUGGCGGCAGGCCUAACACAUGCAAGUCGAACGGUAACAGGAAGAAGCUUGCUUCUUUGCUGACGAGUGGCGGACGGGUGAGUAAUGUCUGGGAAACUGCCUGAUGGAGGGGGAUAACUACUGGAAACGGUAGCUAAUACCGCAUAAUGUCGCAAGACCAAAGAGGGGGACCUUCGGGCCUCUUGCCAUCGGAUGUGCCCAGAUGGGAUUAGCUAGUAGGUGGGGUAACGGCUCACCUAGGCGACGAUCCCUAGCUGGUCUGAGAGGAUGACCAGCAACACUGGAACUGAGACACGGUCCAGACUCCUACGGGAGGCAGCAGUGGGGAAUAUUGCACAAUGGGCGCAAGCCUGAUGCAGCUAUGCCGCGUGUAUGAAGAAGGCCUUCGGGUUGUAAAGUACUUUCAGUGGGGAGGAAGGGAGUAAAGUUAAUACCUUUGCUCAUUGACGUUACCCGCAGAAGAAGCACCGGCUAACUCCGUG